Molecule: ribosomal RNA, 253 nt
Filed under: uncultured bacterium
Lineage: Bacteria
Description: partial 16S ribosomal RNA
Rfam family: Bacterial small subunit ribosomal RNA
Source: RNAcentral
UACGGAGGGUGCGAGCGUUGUUCGGAAUCACUGGGCGUAAAGCGCGUGUAGGCGGCCCAUUAAGUCUGAUGUGAAAGCCCGGGGCUCACCCCCGGAAGUGCAUUGGAAACUGAUGGACUAGAGUCCCGGAGAGGAGAGUGGAAUUCCUGGUGUAGCGGUGAAAUGCGUAGAUAUCAGGAGGAACACCGGUGGCGAAGGCGGCUCUCUGGACGGUGACUGACGCUGAGACGCGAAAGCGUGGGGAGCAAACAGG